RNA transcript from Tribolium castaneum (red flour beetle), 2435 nucleotides. RefSeq lists it as uncharacterized. NCBI's taxonomy places the organism in Eukaryota, Metazoa, Arthropoda, Insecta, Coleoptera, Tenebrionidae. The record is from RefSeq and is a predicted model, not a curated record. The transcript is spliced from 2 exons.
GAUAUUUUUUUAAAAAGUCAGCGACUACGUAAGAUUAAAAAAAUGUAAAAAUGACUUCGUUUUUUGAAAAAGAAUAAUUUCUUAAAUAAUUCGAGGGUAAUUUUUUUAAAAAUAAAGAAGACAUUUGGAAAUCUAGUACAUGUUUGGUGAUCACUGAUCAGAAAGAACUUUUUGAGAUUUAAUAAUUUAAUUUUUAGAACUAAUCUUGCAUUUGUGCUAGAACUAGUUUUGCUGAUUAAAAAAAAUUAAAGACUUUACAGAAUUUAAGGAAAUUCAACUGAUAACGUUCAUGAAGUUAAAAACAGAUACAUAUUUUUUACCGAUUUGUUUUCAUCAUCAUCAGAUUCCAAUGCUGUUGUUAGAGCAGUCUAUACUAAAACACCAAUAUCCCUAAUAACGUAAUAACAGUUUUGGAGCAGUUCAUUUGAGGUGUUACAAAAAGGGUGGUACUAUAUUUUUAAAGGUAGGUAAUAUGUGUAACAAAGGGGUUAAGUACUACAUAUUUCCAAAGUACGACAAAGAAUGUUCCAUGUCCCCCUGUCAAUAAAAAUUGUUUUUUUUUCAGUGUUUGAAAAUUUUUCAUAUUUUCGAAAUUAACCAGUAGGUAGGUAAAUGUUUUUUUUUGUAGAAAUGUCAUAGGCAGGGGCGGCAAUAAACUUAAAUACUUAAAUUAUGCUAUACCAAGUAGUAAUAAAUCAAUAUUUUUGUGAAAUAUAGUCCAAAUUAAUUUUAUCUUGGUAAUUUUUUUUUCAUUUAAGUCAUUCAUUAAUAAUUAUUCUCAUUGAAUAACUAUAUUUAACAUCGACAGCAAUAAAAUUAUAGAUGUCGGGGUCGUUUGAUACUUUCAAACAGACAUAAAUUUAACAAAUCAAAAAUGAAACUUAACUACUUUUUGUAGUUUUUGUAAUGACCCCUUCAAAUACAUACAUAGGUAAUGGUUGAUAUAAAUUAAGCAAGUAUUAAGUCUUUUUAUAGACACGGCUACAUCUCUACAUACGUAAAGUGAAUUUAUGAAUUUUUUAUCAUUUCUGUACUUACAAUAAAGGACUGCUUCGUGGUCUGAACCGUGUAAUGAAUUUCUUUAUUGUAUAUUUAAAAAUUCUAAUUUUUCUAACAGAUUUAGGCUAUUUUUAAUUCAUAAAUUAUAUCUGCAGAUUUACGUAAAUAUACCUAAUUUAAAUUUAAACAGAAAAAUAGAAAAUGUUUUUCAACGUUAAUUAAUUAAAUAUUAAAAGUAGAUGCUCAGGAAGUUAUCUUGAUGAAAAAUUGCUUUCGAAAGUGUUUGUUCUGUAUUUAAUACCUACUUUGACUUCAUUAUGAAGCAUUGACGAUUUUAUCGCAAAAUUAUUCGCUAAAUGUUUUUUUCAAGGACUUAUGUAAUGGUUACGAGAAGCGUACAAAUAUCUACUACAAGUAAAGAAAAAACAUGAGCUAAAAAAUGUAUACUUUAUAUUUGCCUUGUACCUAAGUAAACAAAUUAAGUAAGAUUUAAAAAGUGUACAAAGGAAAAAAAAGACUGCAAAUAGAAGAUAAUUUUAAUUAAAUGAAUAUUAUGAGUACAAAUAUUUUAAUAGAAACAGGUGCCCAGAAGGCGACGAAUUUAUUUUAGAUCUUCAACAAAUAAUGGAAUCACAGUAAAUGUUAUACCACCUACAAUACAAUCUUAAAAUGUAUAAACACCUCUUUAUUUAAAAAAUAAUUUUUGACAAUUUUAAUAGCAAUAACUUUGAAAUAAUGGAACAAUCACAGUAAGGUUUCAUUUCAAAUAUUUUUUAGUUAUGAAGUGGCCCUAAUAUGACGAAUAUUUUUAACUAAAACUCAUGUUGAGCACCAUUUUCUUGUUGGAAUUUUGAAGCAAAAAAAUCCAUUUCUUUUUCAAACCCACUGUGUAUAUUCCAAACCCAUCAAGAUCGAGGUCACGUGCUUGUGUUUGUGCUGUUGUGUUAAUAAAUACAGCUACUGAUUAAACUGUUCACUGUUGUUUACAAUCAUCGCUCGCGUUUGUUGUUCAAAUUGUGAGAAAACAAUUAUUGGAGAGAAAACACACGAAAUGUAUCGCAAUUUAUUAAUCCCAGCUCUAAUUUUCACCAUUUACGUCAACACUGUCAACUGUAUCGUGUGCACCCCCGGAAUAUGUGCCUCAGUCCAGUGCAAGGAAGUUCAAGGCUGCAAGGGCCAAAACCAGGAAGUCCAACCGGGGGGAUUUUGCAGUUGCUGCAACGUCUGCUACACAAUUCUCGGUGAGAACGAGGCUUGCAACGACAUUGUCCUCCAGGGGGUUCCCCCAGCCACGACGCGGUGCGCCAAUGGCCUGGUGUGCUACGAGGGAAAAUGCACAAGCUUUAAGAAUUUACAAGGCAAAUAGAUUAAAAAUAAAUAUAUAACACCGAAAAUUUAUAUAUUUUUAAUAAAAAAAAUCUGUAAAAGAAAAGAAA